This 253-nucleotide ribosomal RNA is filed under the name uncultured bacterium. RNAcentral's name for it is "partial 16S ribosomal RNA". It matches the Rfam family "Bacterial small subunit ribosomal RNA", at positions 524 to 776 of the family's 1533-position model. The record is from RNAcentral.
UACGAAGGGGGCUAGCGUUGCUCGGAAUCACUGGGCGUAAAGGGUGCGUAGGCGGGUCUUUAAGUCAGGGGUGAAAUCCUGGAGCUCAACUCCAGAACUGCCUUUGAUACUGAAGAUCUUGAGUUCGGGAGAGGUGAGUGGAACUGCGAGUGUAGAGGUGAGAUUCGUAGAUAUUCGCAAGAACACCAGUGGCGAAGGCGGCUCACUGGCCCGAUACUGACGCUGAGGAGCGAAAGCGUGGGGAGCGAACAGG